UACGUAGGGCGCAAGCGUUGUCCGGAAUUAUUGGGCGUAAAGAGCUCGUAGGCGGCUUGUCACGUCGGGUGUUAAAGCCCGGGGCUUAACCCCGGGUCUGCAUUCGAUACGGGCAGGCUAGAGUGUGGUAGGGGAGAUCGGAAUUCCUGGUGUAGCGGUGAAAUGCGCAGAUAUCAGGAGGAACACCGGUGGCGAAGGCGGAUCUCUGGGCCAUUACUGACGCUGAGGAGCGAAAGCGUGGGGAGCGAACAGG
RNAcentral lists this ribosomal RNA (253 nucleotides) under uncultured bacterium. RNAcentral describes it as "partial 16S ribosomal RNA". It matches the Rfam family "Bacterial small subunit ribosomal RNA", at positions 524 to 776 of the family's 1533-position model. The record is from RNAcentral.